RNAcentral lists this transfer RNA (64 nucleotides) under Rhodospirillaceae bacterium. RNAcentral's name for it is "tRNA-Lys". It matches the Rfam family "tRNA", at positions 5 to 66 of the family's 71-position model. Rfam says of the family: Transfer RNA (tRNA) molecules are approximately 80 nucleotides in length. Their secondary structure includes four short double-helical elements and three loops (D, anti-codon, and T loops). The record is from RNAcentral. Lineage: Bacteria; Pseudomonadati; Pseudomonadota; Alphaproteobacteria; Rhodospirillales; Rhodospirillaceae.
GCAUAGCUCAGUUGGCAGAGCAGCUGACUCUUAAUCAGCGGGUCCGGGGUUCGAGUCCCCGUGC